CCGAUUAGUGAUUACGAGCCCUUGAAUCAUCCCUUAAUUGACAUAAACAAAACACUUCAGAAGAAAGUUAACAAACAGAGACAAAUAUUUUAUCUAAAACUUACUGAACGAUCGCAGACAAAUGUGGAGCGACACGAGGCAAAGUGGGAAAAGAAAAAUCAAGAAGAUGAAGGGUGAAAGAAAGCAGAAAUUCGACAGCAAUGAAGAGAAAAACAGCAAGAGGGUGAAGGGAUUUUGGGGAAAGUAAAAAAAAAAGGGAAAAAAAAAGAUGAACAGAAUAUUUGAUAACUACCCCAAUCCCUUAUUUCUCUCCAUCAAACUCCCCACUAAAUCCACUAAUUAGAUUUUUAGUCCAACUCAAACUCUCCCGGACGCACGAGCAAAAAUAAUGCCCAUGCCAAAAUUCAAAC
Molecule: long non-coding RNA, 410 nt
Filed under: Gossypium raimondii (Peruvian cotton)
Lineage: Eukaryota; Viridiplantae; Streptophyta; Magnoliopsida; Malvales; Malvaceae
Description: long non-coding RNA (GRAI_LNC003752)
Source: RNAcentral